AAGAACCAAGUGAGAGCACUGCAGUGCCCGCGGUCCUUACCUCCUGCCAGAGCAGCGCCGCAGAGGCACAAACACUCCUGGCGGGGUGGCUGCCUGGGGAGGGGUGAGCUUCCCGACGGAGGCCCCAGCCAUCCUGGAGGAGGGUGCUGGGCAGACACCGGCCCCUCUAACCGUAGCUCAGCCACACUGCCCAUCACCUUCAAGUGCCUGCUGGAGAACAACCACAUCGACCGGCGCAUCGCUCGCUUCGUGCUGCCCGUGGGUGCCACCAUCAAUAUGGACGGCACUGCGCUCUACGAGGCUGUGGCCGCCAUCUUCAUCGCCCAGGUCAACAACUACGAGCUGGACUUUGGCCAGAUCAUCACCAUCAGGUGCACCCUGACACUGCACCUGUGUGGAUGGGGCGGUGGCUGGGGGCCUUGGGGAUUCCCAGGCUCCCAGACUUGAGGGGUAUCUGAGGCGAGCGAGCCUGGGCUCGGAGCACAGCAGGCAGAGGGCCAGGGCUGAGAGCUCCAAGCCUGGAGGACAGCCCGGGAGGGAGGGCAUUGCUGGUGGGCACAGGGCGAGCGGAGGCCAGGGACAGGACUCAGGACCCUGGAGAGGCCGCCAUUGCGGCAGGAGCCAAGGAAGGGGUGCUGGGAUGCAGCUGAGGCUGACGGCGGCCUCACAGGCCAGCCAAGCACACAGGUCUGACCCUGGAGGCCAGGCCCCAGAGGGAGGCAGGCAGAGCCAUGUGGUGGUCAAUCAGAGUCCCUGGGUAGCCCCAUAGCAAUAUAGCUUCCUGGAACCCACAGAGGCACAGCUCCAGACACAGGUGUUUGCACAUUUCCCAGGGGUUCUCCUGAGGCCAGGAAUGGGGGUCCAUGGGGCUGCGGGACUGUGAGGAGGGACUCGACCCCGAGAGCUCCCUGGUGUGGCAUUCCUACCCACCCCCCACACCAAAUGGCUGUCCCAGAGGCCCUGACACUCAACCUCUUCCUUGGAGCCAGACCCUGACAAUGCACCCUGCCCCUCCUGCUGCUCCUCUUCCCCUUCCCACCCCCUGCAGUAUCACAGCCACUGCAGCCAGCAUUGGGGCAGCUGGCAUCCCCCAGGCCGGACUCGUCACCAUGGUCAUCGUGCUCACCUCCGUGGGACUGCCCACCGAUGACAUCACCCUCAUCAUUGCCGUUGACUGGGCUCUGGACCGUUUCCGCACCAUGAUUAAUGUGCUGGGUGAUGCGCUGGCAGCGGGGAUCAUGGCCCAUAUAUGUCGGAAGGAUUUUGCCCGGGACACAGGCACCGAGAAACUGCUGCCCUGCGAGACCAAGCCAGUGAGCCUCCAGGAGAUCGUGGCAGCCCAGCAGAAUGGCUGUGUGAAGAGUGUAGCCGAGGCCUCCGAGCUCACCCUGGGCCCCACCUGCCCCCACCACGUCCCCGUUCAAGUGGAGCAGGAUGAGGAGCUGCCCGCUGCGAGUCUGAACCACUGCACCAUCCAGAUCAGUGAGCUGGAGACCAAUGUCUGAGCCUGCGGAGCUGCAGGGGCAGGUGAGGCCUCCAGGGGCAGGGUCCUGAGGCAGGAACUCGACUCUCCAACCCUCCUGAGCAGCCGGCAGGGGCCAGGAUCACACAUUCUUCUCACCCUUGAGAGGCUGGAAUUAACCCCGCUUGAUGGAAAAUGUAUCUCAGAGAAGGGAAAGGCUGCAUGGGGGAGCCCCAUCCAGGGAGUGAUGGGCCCGGCAUUGCCUGAGGCCCCGCUGUGACAGUUUCCCCGGUGUGAGCCCGGUGAGGGCGGCAGGCAGGGGUUAUCUGGCCCCACUUUCUGGAUGACAGACUUGAGGCUCUGAGAGCUGAAAACACUUGUCCAAGGUCUCACGUUAAGGUCAAGACACUAACUCAAAUCUUUCAAGCCCCGCCUCUCCUCUUGGAGGACAGGGCAGCCUGCAGCUGUGUCCAGGCCCAGGCCCCACCCCAUAACAGGUGGCCUCAGCCACACAGUUCUCCCCAAGGGGAGCAGCCCAGGGCCAAGCCCCGCUGCCUUCCCCAGGCCACAGUGCGUCCAGUGUCCUGUCCUGCCACGUGUCUCUUGCAAAGCUCCUUGGAUGUGGACACAGAUGUCUUUACUAGAGCUGAAAGGCCCCCUCGACACAUCCAGGCCAACCUCCCAUGGAAUAGGUAGGCAAGCCAGGACUCCGGGAAGGAGGUGCAGCCAGGAUGCUCUGGUGGAGCUGCCGAUGGGGCCCUGGUGUCAGAACUCCCCAAAGGCCUGUGCGUCCAAGUGGAGUCAGGUUUUCUAUUCCUUUCUGUGUUUGCAAAUUCAGUGUUAACUAAAUAAAGGUAUUUUGUUUUUC
Molecule: small RNA, 2330 nt
Filed under: Pan troglodytes (chimpanzee)
Lineage: Eukaryota; Metazoa; Chordata; Mammalia; Primates; Hominidae
Description: processed transcript
Source: RNAcentral